Molecule: ribosomal RNA, 460 nt
Filed under: uncultured bacterium
Lineage: Bacteria
Description: partial 16S ribosomal RNA
Rfam family: Bacterial small subunit ribosomal RNA
Source: RNAcentral
CCUACGGGUGGCAGCAGUGAGGAAUAUUGGUCAAUGGACGAGAGUCUGAACCAGCCAAGUAGCGUGAAGGAUGACUGCCCUAUGGGUUGUAAACUUCUUUUAUAUGGGAAUAAAACGUUCCACGUGUGGGAUUUUGUAUGUACCAUAUGAAUAAGGAUCGGCUAACUUCGUGCCAGCAGCCGCGGUAAUACGGAGGAUCCGAGCGUUAUCCGGAUUUAUUGGGUUUAAAGGGAGCGUAGGUGGAUUGUUAAGUCAGUUGUGAAAGUUUGCGGCUCAACCGUAAAAUUGCAGUUGAAACUGGCAGUCUUGAGUACAGUAGAGGUGGGCGGAAGUCGUGGUGUAGCGGUGAAAUGCUUAGAUAUCACGAAGAACUCCGAUUGCGAAGGCAGUUCACUGGACUGUAACUGACACUGAGGCUCGAAAGUGUGGGUAUCAAACAGGAUUAGAUACCCUUGUAGUC